Long non-coding RNA from Papaver somniferum (opium poppy), 1007 nucleotides. RefSeq lists it as uncharacterized. NCBI's taxonomy places the organism in Eukaryota, Viridiplantae, Streptophyta, Magnoliopsida, Ranunculales, Papaveraceae. The record is from RefSeq and is a predicted model, not a curated record. The transcript has 2 exons.
UUAGUUUUCUCCUCUCGCUUCUUCUUCUUCAUUCGGUCUUUUUUUUUCGGAUUUCUUUCUUCCUCCGUCUUCUAUCUUUUAAUCAAGGAAGAAGGUUUUGUUUGAUCAACAUAAACCGAUUUCGAUCAGUCGCUGAAUAACAUCGAUUUUCAUAUGUUUUUUUUUUGAAAUCCUUACGGUGAUUAAUAUCAAUUUUUUUUCUGUAUAUUCUUUUUGGGAUCUAAUUAAGGUGGAUCGACAAGGAAACUAAAUUCUGGUUCGCUCGCUGAUUGAUAACUAGGAUUUCCCUACCUGAAAUUUUGAGGAUUUUGUUCCUGAUGUGUUAGAUGUUUGUAUAUAUGCAGAUUGUUGUACUAGGGAAGUCUUGAUAUGGAUCUAUUGUUUAUUAGCGACUUCAAGCAGGAUGUGGGUAUUAUGCUGGUAUUGAUACCAAUUUCAGGUGUGCACCUGUUGCCUGCUUGGCUGUAGAACCUAUUGGGACAUCACCAUCCUGUUUUCCUAAACAGGGUUACAUCACAAGACAAUGCAAACUAAAGGAAUUCGGGAGAUUACCAGUAAAGGUGUUGUAAGGAAUGUCUAGAUCUUUGAGUGAUUUGAGUCAACUUCGUUAAGGAGGAAGAUUACCAGAGAAUGAAUUGUGUAUAAGAACUAGGGAUUCAAGAUUAACGAAAGAAGAAAUGGAAGAAGGAAUUGGCCCAUAAAAUGAAUUUUCAGCAAGACGAAUGUGUGUGAGUUGAGUAAGUGAUGAAAUGAGAGGAGAAAGAGUUCUUGAAUAACCAACAGGGUCAAGAACGAUUGAAGUGAUACGAGUUAAAUCAGAGCUACAAGUGAUUUCACAAAUGAAAUGUGUUCCGUGACACAGUGCGAUUGUUGUCCUAUAGGGACUGGAGGUGUGUACAGUUAGGAGUUUCUUUGGUGUUCUCAUAGUAAAAUUAAUCAAAAUGCACGAGGCAGAUUUUAUCAUCAUCAAACAGAUUUAUUAAGCUACCACUUUCUGGAUUUUGUGA